Molecule: non-coding RNA, 316 nt
Organism: Danio rerio (zebrafish)
Lineage: Eukaryota; Metazoa; Chordata; Actinopteri; Cypriniformes; Danionidae
Source: RefSeq, a predicted model, not a curated record
CUGGAGCAGCAUAAGCCCAUUCACUCUCAUUCCUUUGAUAAGUGUGUAAUUUUGUCCCAUUCUUCCUGCAAAUAAGUCUUUAAGGUAGGCAACAGUACAGAGUAUUUGUUGUCGUAUUUUGGGCUUCAAAAUAUGUCACAUUCUCUAUUGGAGACAGGUCGGAACUGCCGGCAGGCCAGUCAGGUACCUGCAUCCUCUUCCUGUGCAAUGGUCACUGUAGCCAAUAACAGUCAUAUCUUUUGAGCUCGUGUACACAAUGGGCAAUUAGCAGUGUUCAAGAAUUCAAUCAUCAGCAUUAAAAUGAACUUACUGCUUC